This 258-nucleotide ribosomal RNA is filed under the name Haemophilus influenzae. RNAcentral's name for it is "partial 23S ribosomal RNA". It matches the Rfam family "Bacterial large subunit ribosomal RNA", at positions 456 to 720 of the family's 2925-position model. The record is from RNAcentral. Lineage: Bacteria; Pseudomonadati; Pseudomonadota; Gammaproteobacteria; Pasteurellales; Pasteurellaceae.
UCCUCCAAGGCUAAAUACUCCUGAUUGACCGAUAGUGAACCAGUACUGUGAAGGAAAGGCGAAAAGAACCCCGGUGAGGGGAGUGAAAUAGAACCUGAAACCUUGUACGUACAAGCAGUGGGAGCCCGAAAGGGUGACUGCGUACCUUUUGUAUAAUGGGUCAGCGACUUAUAUUUUGUAGCGAGGUUAACCGAAUAGGGGAGCCGAAGGGAAACCGAGUCUUAACUGGGCGAAGAGUUGCAAGGUAUAGACCCGAAA